This 441-nucleotide unclassified non-coding RNA is filed under the name Hevea brasiliensis (rubber tree). Lineage: Eukaryota; Viridiplantae; Streptophyta; Magnoliopsida; Malpighiales; Euphorbiaceae. The record is from RNAcentral.
AAAACCUCUCCCUUCACCGGCGCCGGCGUCUUCAACGGAGCUCCGACAUGUCCCCUUUAUUUGCAAUUGUCUCACUGAUCAUACUUAUAAUCAUACCGACUAUCGUAUUCGCUUUCAUCUACGCUAUGAAACACCCGGAUAAUGUUUUCCGGCGAAGCUCCGGCGAAACUUCCGGUGAGUCGACCACCGGAAUUAUUACACAACAUACGGAUAUGUUAUCGACUGUGAAGUAUGAAAAAAGAACAUCGCCGGAGAAGGAGGAAGAUCCCGGCAAUGAGUGUCCGGUGUGUUUGACGGCGUUUAUUGACGGAGAAGAAGUUAGACAAUUGAUGACGUGUAAACAUAUUUUUCAUUUUUCUUGUAUUGAUAAAUGGCUUUGUUCUAAAUCAAGUUGUCCGGUUUGCCGUGCUGCCGUUACCGUUAAACGGCCUAAACGGCCGG